CCACCUCACCAGGUGCAGCGGCUUGACCUCGGAUCUCAUAUCCUCUAGUAAUCUAAAAGAUAAAUGUCUCCUCUUUGUAAACUGCCCGGUCUUGGAUAUUCUGGCUUGGCAGCACAUGCUGGACUACGGUGAUGAGAUGGUGUAACAGGAGUCACCUACGGGUUCUUAUUAAAUGGCACAUUCUGAUGAAGCACGUCUGGGGCUGGGCCUGAGAGUCCCCUGAUCAGCUCCCAGGGGUGCUGAGGACUCUCGUCCGGAGUCUCACCCUGUGCGGUGGGAGCGGAGAGGAAACUAUAGUCGUGGUGGUGGAGAUGGAGGGAAGGCGACAGCGGUUGAGGACAUUCAGAAGGCAAAAGCCAAAGGCUACAGUGAAGAAUUAGGUGAGAUUGAAUCAAACUUGAGAGAGGCGGUACUGCUAAGGGAGCCACAUGGAUUUCCAGCGCGCACUGAGGAUUAAUGGAGCAGAUGAUCACCAGCGUUGCACCUUCUUCCCACCUUCACUGAAAACAUCUCAGGCCACAGCAUCUGUGAUCACUGGGCUCCAGGAUGGAAGCCUUCAGCCUUACUUUGGCAAACUUUGGCCU
Fukomys damarensis (Damara mole-rat) is the source of this 584-nucleotide long non-coding RNA. RefSeq lists it as uncharacterized. Lineage: Eukaryota; Metazoa; Chordata; Mammalia; Rodentia; Bathyergidae. The record is from RefSeq and is a predicted model, not a curated record. The transcript is spliced from 3 exons.